This 389-nucleotide ribosomal RNA is filed under the name uncultured bacterium. RNAcentral describes it as "bacterial SSU rRNA". It matches the Rfam family "Bacterial small subunit ribosomal RNA", at positions 28 to 416 of the family's 1533-position model. The record is from RNAcentral.
GAUGAACGCUGGCGGCGUGCUUAACACAUGCAAGUCGAACGGUGAAACAGGAGCUUGCUCCUGUCGAUCAGUGGCGAACGGGUGAGUAACACGUGAGUAACCUGCCCCAGACUCUGGGAUAAGCACUGGAAACGGUGUCUAAUACCGGAUACGAGCUUCAGUCGCAUGGCUAGAAGCUGGAAAGAAUUUCGGUCUGGGAUGGACUCGCGGCCUAUCAGGAGUUGGUGAGGUAACGGCCCACCAAGCCUACGACGGGUAGCCGGCCUGAGAGGGUGACCGGCCACACUGGGACUGAGACACGGCCCAGACUCCUACGGGAGGCAGCAGUGGGGAAUAUUGCACAAUGGGCGCAAGCCUGAUGCAGCAACGCCGCGUGAGGGACGACGGCC